UACGUAGGGCGCAAGCGUUAUCCGGAAUUAUUGGUCGUAAAGAGCUCGUAGGCGGUUUGUCGCGUCUGCUGUGAAAGACCGGGGCUCAACUCCGGUUCUGCAGUGGGUACGGGCAGACUAGAGUGCAGUAGGGGAGACUGGAAUUCCUGGUGUAGCGGUGAAAUGCGCAGAUAUCAGGAGGAACACCGAUGGCGAAGGCAGGUCUCUGGGCUGUAACUGACGCUGAGGAGCGAAAGCAUGGGGAGCGAACAGG
Molecule: ribosomal RNA, 253 nt
Filed under: uncultured bacterium
Lineage: Bacteria
Description: partial 16S ribosomal RNA
Rfam family: Bacterial small subunit ribosomal RNA
Source: RNAcentral